AGAGUUUGAUCCUGGCUCAGGAUGAACGCUAGCGGCAGGCUUAACACAUGCAAGUCGAGGGGCAUCGGGAGGGAAGCUUGCUUUCCUUGCCGGCGACCGGCGCACGGGUGAGUAACACGUAUGCAACCUGCCCUCUUCAGGGGGACAACCUUCCGAAAGGGAGGCUAAUCCCGCGUAUAUCGGUUUCGGGCAUCCGAGAUCGAGGAAAGAUUCAUCGGAAGAGGAUGGGCAUGCGGCGCAUUAGCUUGACGGCGGGGUAACGGCCCACCGUGGCGACGAUGCGUAGGGGUUCUGAGAGGAAGGUCCCCCACACUGGUACUGAGACACGGACCAGACUCCUACGGGAGGCAGCAGUGAGGAAUAUUGGUCAAUGGGAGAGAUCCUGAACCAGCCAAGCCGCGUGAGGGAAGACGGCCCUAUGGGUUGUAAACCUCUUUUGUCGGAGAACAAAACCCGGGACGUGCCCCGGACUGCGUGUAUCCGAAGAAAAAGCAUCGGCUAACUCCGUG
This 509-nucleotide ribosomal RNA is filed under the name uncultured Bacteroidales bacterium. RNAcentral describes it as "bacterial SSU rRNA". It matches the Rfam family "Bacterial small subunit ribosomal RNA", at positions 8 to 507 of the family's 1533-position model. The record is from RNAcentral. Lineage: Bacteria; Pseudomonadati; Bacteroidota; Bacteroidia; Bacteroidales.